Molecule: non-coding RNA, 1478 nt
Organism: Ictidomys tridecemlineatus (thirteen-lined ground squirrel)
Lineage: Eukaryota; Metazoa; Chordata; Mammalia; Rodentia; Sciuridae
Source: RefSeq, a predicted model, not a curated record
CCAGACAGGAGCAAGUGGGGGUCCCCUCCUUGCCCGCGCCCUCCCCCACCCCCUUUCUCCGAGGAGCCCUUUUCUGUGGGUUUCUGUCGUACCGUUUCCUUCUGUUUUCCUGUGCAUCGUGUCCAGAGCAUCCAACUUACCAACUCAGCCUUUAAGGGACAUUCAGGGACGUCCAAUACAGUCCCAUGGCUCUGUGGCCACGACCAACGUCCGUCUCCCUGGCGUUUUUAAUCUUCCCCAAAUGAAGCCCUGAGCCCCUUCAACAGCAGCUGCCCCCCGUCCCACCUCCCCCCUGUUGGAGGUGGCACCUCCGGGGACCUCAGUAGACUCAGCCCCCUGGUUGUGGGGUGACAGGCGCGUCCCCUGUGCUGGCUGGCCUGCUGUUUUGAAGGAGCAUCUGCAGCCUCUCUUAGGGAAAAUGUUGCUCCUUCUUGUGUCCUCGGGGCUAGUGACAGUCUCGCUGAGUGUGUGUUGACAGUGAGGCUGCGUGUGUUGGUGUCACUCGUCCCCAUUUCAUAGAUGGGGACGUGCCCUGGCCUCCUGCCGCUCCUAACGUGGGCUUCCUGAGACACCAAGGUUCAGCAUCCCGGCGGCCCCUGCGGACACCUCCCUGUCCACCCCACGCUGCUCUGCAGGACCCGCCUGGUUGCCCUGUAGGACCCCCUCCAGCCCCGGGCACCCUGCACCCUCCCCGGGACGGAUGCUCAUUUCCAUACGGUGACGGCUCCUCAGGAGUCCGGGGGUGGGGGUGGCUGCCCGGCCACUGGGCGGCCCCAGGGCGCUGGACCCAGGACUCCCCCGACUCUGCCCAGCCUCCUGGCGUGAAGCUGCCCGACGGACGGCGCAGAUCCAGUUAGGAGCCAGCCGUUUGGGCUGCGUUUUGGAGACGCUGAUGCCAGCUGGGAGCUGGGGAGUGUUUCCCUCUAUAUUUAGUCUCCGCGUGCUGGGGACUGACCCAGGGCCUCCUGCCCUGCACCUCUGAGCCACACGAGGCCCUGGGAACAUAUUUUAACGAUGUCAGCACCCACAGUGUCUUCCACACAGCCCAAGACGAGCCUUUCUGCUGCCUCAUCUCAGACUCUGGGCCAGUCAACAGGCUGCGUGGGUCCGUCUCGGCCCCUUUCCUUGGUGCACAAGCUCCCGGUGGGAAGCCUUGCCCGGGCGCCUUGCAUCGGUGGGAGCUGCGCCCCCCCACCCCAGCGCACACCUUGGCUGGGUUCUGAGAACUUAUCUCUUAAGUGCCAUCCUCACAUGGCUUGAGGUCCAGCCAAUGGAGGUUCAGUGAGAAGUGACCCAGUGACCUCUCCAUGACAGCCCCAGGACUUCGGGAAACGUAAAAUAAGAAGAUGUCAGACCCUGGCCCCAGGAAAGCAGGCUGAGCUGUCAAAAUAACAAAAUGCCUUGCUUCAUUGCAUUUGACUUUAUUUUACUGUGCAGACACUGCAUUUAAAAAAAAAAAAAUUGAAGGUUCCAGGCAA